UCUCCAGUGGCGCAGUUGGUUAGCGCAUGGUACUUAUAUGUCAGUAGUUAUGUGACACUAAUCAACAGAUUAAUAAGUGUUUAAGGAGCAAUGCCGAGGUCGCGAGUUCGAGCCUCGCCUGGAGAA
This 126-nucleotide transfer RNA is filed under the name Daphnia magna. It matches the Rfam family "tRNA". From Rfam's summary of the family: Transfer RNA (tRNA) molecules are approximately 80 nucleotides in length. Lineage: Eukaryota; Metazoa; Arthropoda; Branchiopoda; Diplostraca; Daphniidae. The record is from Rfam by way of RNAcentral.